Molecule: ribosomal RNA, 666 nt
Filed under: uncultured cyanobacterium
Lineage: Bacteria; Bacillati; Cyanobacteriota
Description: bacterial SSU rRNA
Rfam family: Bacterial small subunit ribosomal RNA
Source: RNAcentral
CGGACGGGUGAGUAACGCGUGAGUAUUUACCUUUAGGAGGGGGACAACAAUUGGAAACGAUUGCUAAUACCCCAUAUGCUUUAGAGUGAAAUAGAUUUAUCUGCCUAAAGAAAAGCUCGCGGCUGAUUAGCUAGUUGGUAAGGUAAUGGCUUACCAAGGCGACGAUCAGUAUCUGGUUUGAGAGGACGAUCAGACACACUGGAACUGAGACACGGUCCAGACUCCUACGGGAGGCAGCAGUGGGGAAUUUUCCGCAAUGGGCGAAAGCCUGACGGAGCAAUACCGCGUGAGGGAAGACUGCCUAUGGGUUGUAAACCUCUUUUUUCAGGGAGGAAUAAAUGACGUGUACCUGAAGAAUAAGCAUCGGCUAACUCCGUGCCAGCAGCCGCGGUAAGACGGAGGAUGCAAGUGUUAUCCGGAAUCACUGGGCGUAAAGCGUCUGUAGGUUGUUGUUUAAGUCAACUGUUAAAUCUUGAGGCUCAACUUCAAAAUCGCAGUCGAAACUAUUCAACUAGAGUAUAGUAGGGGUAAAGGGAAUUUCCAGUGGAGCGGUGAAAUGCGUAGAUAUUGGAAAGAACACCGAUGGCGAAGGCACUUUACUGGGCUAUUACUAACACUCAGAGACGAAAGCUAGGGUAGCAAAUGGGAUUAGAUACCCCAGUAGUC